AUCCGCGAGUCAGAGCAAGGAGACCCAAGGACGAGGCCACGUCGAUUUCCGCGAGAGUUCUAGCGAGUUGUCGUAGCUGAUCGGCAUGACGCGUGACCUUUAUGAAGCCUCAAAGUGCUGUAGCGAACUUUACCAGUGACGCCAUCUACACGUACGAAAUCCUCACGGUCCGCCAUCACGGCUUCCUUUGAUGAUGGGAUCUCGACAACGCGGAUGAAUGCUCGGUGGGGACUAAUGGUUAGCUUGGGGAUAUUCAGCAAAGACCUGUUAAAAUUUGGUAAAAUAAAUUGAUUUACAAAGACUCGAAGAGAUGGGGGUGUGAAUAUAGUCUCUA
Molecule: long non-coding RNA, 334 nt
Organism: Nematostella vectensis (starlet sea anemone)
Lineage: Eukaryota; Metazoa; Cnidaria; Anthozoa; Actiniaria; Edwardsiidae
Exons: 2
Source: RefSeq, a predicted model, not a curated record